GCCCUGAGACAGCUUCUAGAUGUCUCACUUUUAGAAACACAAUUUAUCCCUCGUGUGUAACAAUCCUCUGCUUUAGACAAAUCUCCACAUGUAUAUCCUUGGUUUCCCCUUAAUCGCCACAUUUCACAUGCUUCCUGAGCUGCAACAGAUGCAGCAGAAAUCAAAUCAAAUUCCUGCUUCACCUCCUGUCGUCCAAGCCCCUCAGAGUUUUCUCCAAUCAUGUGGAACGGAGUGGAUAUGCUUACUUUCUUGCCCAGAGUAGG
This 263-nucleotide unclassified non-coding RNA is filed under the name Hevea brasiliensis (rubber tree). Lineage: Eukaryota; Viridiplantae; Streptophyta; Magnoliopsida; Malpighiales; Euphorbiaceae. The record is from RNAcentral.